RNAcentral lists this ribosomal RNA (439 nucleotides) under uncultured bacterium. Its description in RNAcentral is "partial 16S ribosomal RNA". It matches the Rfam family "Bacterial small subunit ribosomal RNA", at positions 338 to 795 of the family's 1533-position model. The record is from RNAcentral.
CCUACGGGUGGCAGCAGUGGGGAAUAUUGCACAAUGGGGGAAACCCUGAUGCAGCGACGCCGCGUGAGCGAUGAAGGAUUUCGGUAUGUAAAGCUCUAUCAGCAGGGAAGAAAAUGACGGUACCUGACCAAGAAGCCCCGGCUAACUACGUACCAGCAGCCGCGGUAAUACGUAGGGGGCAAGCGUUUACCGGAUUUAUUGGGUUAAAGGGGUGCGUAGGCGGUCCGUUAAGUCAGCGGUAAACUUGCGGGGCUCAACCCCGUCGAGCCGUUGAAACUGGCAGCCUUGAGUUGGCGAGAGGUACGCGGAAUGCGCGGUGUAGCGGUGAAAUGCAUAGAUAUCGCGCAGAACUCCGAUUGCGAAGGCAGCGGUCCGGCGCCAGACUGACGCUGAGGCACGAAAGCGUGGGGAUCGAACAGGAUUAGAUACCCCGGUAGUC